Non-coding RNA from Nicotiana tabacum (common tobacco), 5582 nucleotides. Lineage: Eukaryota; Viridiplantae; Streptophyta; Magnoliopsida; Solanales; Solanaceae. The record is from RefSeq and is a predicted model, not a curated record.
AUCAAGUGGAAUGCGUUAUAUUCAAUGUGGAGAUAAUGCAUUUUGCAGAUCUGUUUCGCCCUUUCUAUACUUACUUGGUGUCAGUUGCACAAGUCAAAGAAUCAAACUAUAUGUACGGAAAUCCACUUAACAAAUUUACAUGGACAAUUGAUAAGUGUACCAUUGUUGAGCCAAUAGAAACUGUUAAUCCUCCAGAAGAGCCACUACCUCCGCCAACGCGCCUAAAUCUUACACCAUUUGACAACUUUGAAUAUCAACCCGAAGGAUCUGAAUUCGAUGUGCUUGCCAUCGUGCUCAACACAAGUCCCUCAACCUAUGCUUCAAAUGGGCGGAGAAUUCAAGAUUUUAUCAUCAUGGAUGAUCAGUAAGUAUACAUAAACCUGUUUUAUUGGAUCCAACUAGCAACUGCUGAUUCAAGUAUGAUGUAAUGUGUCACUUUUCGUAUAUUGUCUAACAAUAGCCCACAAUAACUGAAACCGAAAUUCAAGUUGAGAUUGUACCCUUUUAAAGGAUGCUUUUCAUGCUUCAAUUCAAUUUUGGCUUUGCUGCAAUUAUAAUCUUUCAAAGCAUACUUAGAUCUACUACGCAUUCCUGGAAUUAUUAUGGUUUAAGCUUUUUACUACUAAUAAUAUUUGAUCAUAUCUUUAAAUAUAUUCUCAACAAUGCAAAGUUCUUAUCUUGUUGUUUCUCUUGCUAUAAGAAUCUAAGUAAAAUUAGGAUUGAUAUCAUAUUGCGCUUUUGAUUUUGUAAAUUUUAAUUUGGCUCAGCUUUUUUGCAAGUAAUUUAUGCUUUUCCAAAAUUAACUUCAAACUUUCAAUUUAUUUUGAUUUAUAUAUCAACAAUUGUUGGGAUAGCUGCAUAGAGUGACGAUGUUUGGUGGCUAAAAGUACACACCAAUCAAAGAGUCUAAAAACCAUAUCAUCGGCCUUUAACAUUUUAAAAAUCUUUAUUUGUUCUUCAAUAAAGUUAGAAGCAAUGAUCCAAACAAAGAAAUUUUAGUUAUGGCAAAAUCACUAAUUAGAAAGAAGCUAUUAAAAGCUAACUUAAAAAUUAUUUAAUGUUAUAUGCGUCAAAGAAUUAGAUUGUUGCUAAGAGUUAUUCAGAGAAAAAUAUAUUGCCUUCAAAUGUAGAAAUAUAACAUAAUUAAAUAUGUAGUUGCUUAUUUUUCUCUUUAACAAUGACUUUCUAAUUUACCCGUAGUUGUUCUUUAAUAAAGGUAGUGUUUCAAAAAUUAUGAUUAUAUUUAAAAAAUUUUACCUACUAUUAACUCAUCCGGGUUUACUAAAAAAAUCGAUCCUUUUGAUGUCAUGUUUAGCUAUUGGAUUUUAAACCAAACUAUAUUUCAAAAAUAUGUUUUUUUCCAUUCAAUACUUUGGAUUAAUAUUGACCAAAAUAUUCAUGUAAUUAGAAAGUUGCAUAAAGAAGAGCGACUUUGUCUCCUCUAAUUUUAUAUGUUUCUGAACAAAUAGAUAACCUAUCUCAAAUUAUAGCCAAUAUAAUCUCCCUCUUAUUAGGAAUUUAAGAUGUAGUAGUUAUUGCACAAAUUGUAUCAAAUUGAUGAAUCUUAUAUAUACUAGCUUUUAAUUAAAAGAAAUUAGAGUUAAACAUUUGAAUGUCUUUGAAGAAAAGCUAAUAAGUAGCUUAUAGAAAUUCUAUUCAAAGUAUUCAUGCAAUUGUGGAUUCCUAAGUACUAAAAGUUUGUAUAUCACAAACAUGCUUAUAAACUAUUGUAUUUCAAAUGUGCAAAUAUUACCAAUGCUGAAAGAUCUAAUAGAAGAAAGUAGCAUAUCAAUGUUACGAACAUCUCUAUUAAAUAUUCUUGUAAAAGGGAAUUAAGAUGUUAAAGAGAAGAGAUGUACACCUCGAGUCAUAUAACAAUUACAGGUAGACUCAUGGGUAGGCAAAUAAAGCCACAUAUAUUUAUGAUACAACAAAAGUGAUGCUAAAUGACUAGAUUGCUCUCAUGCAUUUUGAAAAAGACACUAAACAUUUAUCAGAUGCAUAGCAAAAAACAUGAGCAAAAUUGAAUAAAAACAAACCUGCAGGUAGAAGCAAUUUGAGGAAGAUGAAGAUGUCUCUAAGAAGCAACGAAAAUCUGAAAGUGCAAACAAAAUGGAGGAAACUAAUAUGUUGUCUAUGUAAAACUCACUUGGGCUCAUUUAAAACUUACACGUAGCAUUUUGUAUAGAAAAACUAAGCCACAUGUAUAGUAAAUUUGUAAGAAUUGGCGCGAAAGGACUAAUAUACCCUCGAGCUUUUUAGAAAUGACAUAAAACACAUGUCGCCAUUCCAGCUUUUCCUUAAGUUUCUUCUUCACUCUGGCCACUAGCUUUUACUUGAUAUCUACAAUUUUUUUAUUUGCUCUUUGGUUUUUGGGUUUUUUAUCAUAUAUGUGAAUUCUUCAGAGUUUCUUGGUGAUGCGAUUUUGAUGAUACGUGUUGGUUUUUGCAGUUUCCUUCUUUGUGUUUUUGGGCUCUGGUUACAUCGCAAUAUCAAAACUUAUUCAAAACAUCUUUAUGUUGAAACUAAUUGGAUCAUUGCUACAAUAAGUUGUGAAUUAUAUCUAUUUCUCUUUUAAUAAGCAUAAAGCAAUUCUACCAUCUAUUCUAGAUUUGAGACUUAUUGGCUCUUCGACAACAUAUGAUAGUUCAAACUAUUUUGCUUUAGAAGCUUUUGUUAGGGACCAAUAGUCAAGACCUCAGGAAAUAUCUGUUUUCUUCGAAACUGAUUGCAUUAUAGAAAUUUCUACACAUUAAGAUACCAAUAUGUGUUCAUUUUUUAAUCAUGUCUAAUAUUUAAAUGUUGUAAUUGAUGCUCAUUUAUGCUGCUUAAGCAUUGACAUUCCCAUGUUGAUUUAAGAUAGUGAUUUAACAAUUUUGUUCUAUUUUAUACUGCAAAAAACCAACGAAAUUCACACUCUGGGUCAAAUAUUCUACAUACAUGCUGAAGUCGCACUACAAAAUGAGAACCAACGAUUUUGUAUCCUACUUGUUCAGACUGCAAACAACACUUCACACGAGUUAUCUCACGGAGAAAGUUCUAUUGCACUAAUUGCUGUCAAGCUACCCAAUUGGUUCCCAGGUGCCAAUUUGAAAUGACGCUCACAGAUCAUAGCGGUUCUGCAACAACAACUAUUGUCGACGAGUAUGCAGAAAAAAUAUUGCUUCUCACUUCGGAAGAGAUUUAUAAUAUCUGCAAUGUCAAGAUGCAUUGUCAAUUUCGAAAAACCACAAAUAACUAUUUUCUACCAGUUGAGCCCCCUCUCAAAUAUAAAUAACUAAUUUCAUUUUUACAGAAAGGACUGUUGCCUCUUGCGAACGCACAAAAGCUACUGACUGGCAAGAUCUUCAAGAUUCAAAUAAAAAAGUUGUUUACAAGAAAUAAUGAGGCAGGAAAGUUAGUUAUUUUGUAUUUCAUAGAUAAAAGUAAUUCGGUUGUCUCACAAAUGUCGGACACCAUCAAGGAUGUUGCGGAAGGAAGUAAACAAAAAAUUGAACCCGCUGCCCCAGAGAAGCAAGAGCGCCCACACAUAACAACCAAAGGCAACGAUUCCUACAAAUGUAAGGCGGAAAUGAAAAUUUCCCCUCCGAAAAAUUGCUGAGAGCAUUUUUGCCAGUGAAACAUCUUUUGCUACUAUUUUGGGAUGCAAGUAAAGCCACAACUUGCUGUUGCUUUUGAAUACGGUUAAGCUCACUUUUACGACUGCUUUCUGGAUAUUCCUCUACUCGGAAUAUGUCGCAUCGACACGAGUUCGUGCUCUGUUUUUUGGUUGGUCAAUCCUUCUGGAGCAGCUUUUCUUGGGUACUCAGAGAUAUUUUUGGCGAAGAACUAACAGGAAAAGGAUCAGAAAAAAGACCAAAGACCGCAUAUGUAAAUAAUUGUAUCAUACAUGUUGUAACUGUUGUGGCACUUUAGACAUCCCUUAAUGUAAUGCUCUUGUGAACGCAUAUAUGUAAAUUAAGUGUGUACCACUUAACAUAAAAUAUUAUCUACUAGAUUCCAUACUUGCAUCAUUAAAUUUUGAGUUAAAUAACGUUGGGCCCGUGCUGGCACGGGCUACACUAUCCUAGUAUAUUAGAAGAGCUGGUUUUGGACAUGUCUGCUUACCUGUCUUUUAAUUUUUGUUUAAGGGCAUUUUGGACCUUUAACAGAAUCUAAUAAUCCAUGUCCUUUAAAUCCAAAACUGAACGGCCACCGCAUCAGUUCUUGCACUCAAUCACUUUAGAACGAAACAUGUGUUUGUGAUUAUCAGUUAAGAUAUGUUUUUUCUAUUUUCUUUGGUUCCAUCGCCUUUUUUCUCUCGCUUUGCUCCGACUUAAACAUUGUCGCAAUCCAAGAUGUAAUAAUCAGGGACAACUUCAGUACUGAAGAUCUCAACUAAGGUAAAAUACUAUUUUUAAGCUCUUGUACUUAAAGGAUCAUAAACCCUAUCCAAUAAACACUUUAUCUGCUUACCUCUAUGUUUUGUGGCAAAAAGUUUUGAUUGGGGUGUUUUUGUUUCUUUCGUGUUUAGUAAAUGGUUUUGAAUUUCUCAUAUUAAUUAAGAAUAAUUGUUUAAUGCUGAAGAAAGACCAGACCUUAUAACCCUCUCAAAGUGAGCUUUCCAAUCCGGCUAUCCCAGUCUUGUGCUCUCUCCUAUUGGAGGUUUUCAAUAUAUUAUUAGAACUGGAUAUGGAUUUGUAGUUAGCUUUUGUUGAAUAGACUUCGGGACUUCACUGAGAAGACUCAAACAUGACAAAAAUGUUUAUCACAGAUUUUGAGGAGGUUUCAGCCUUUCAGGUAAGGUUCAUCUCAUAUCUUAAAGGACCCAAUUUGUUGCUUUUUUGUAAAUAGAGACUUGGGUUGUUAUAUCCCAUUCGUCGUCUUCUCUUAAGAUUUAGAAAAUAUGAAUGGUGCCUCUAUUUUCAGAAGUUCAAAAUAGAUCACAUCGCGUAAAUUGCGUAAAUAUCUGGUAUGAUAACCACCGCACCAUCUUGCUUUUCUUUUCCACCUUUCUCAAAAGUGUUCUACAUUUCAUCUUCUCGGAUGAUUGCAACGCCAUUUAUGCCUAUUUUCUCUCUGCUAUUUACUCUCUGUAACUUUUCUGUUGUUCAGUCCUUUGUUUUGUUUGUGAAUGCUUACAGUUUCAACUUGCAUAUUGUAUUAGAACUUCAAGAUGGGAAUCCAUCACUGCUAGAUCUGGGUUCAACCCUUUGUUCCGAGCAUACUGUUUGUGAAAUGAGAGGAAUGAAAAAGUAUUGCUGAAAUGUCGGAUAGAAAUCUGAAAAAUGGUCAAAACUUCGAAAAAGUACAUUCCGACGAAAAGGCUAGGCGACACUAAUUAUAUAGAAUGAUGCAAGAUGAUAAAAUAGAGGCUCUCUUAACACGUGCACGAGCAAACAAAGCUGAAUGAGUAGAUACAUCUGGCUGCCAGUUGAGUUAUGCAUAUGAUUUUUAAGUUCUCUUCAUAUUCUUUGGUGUAACUAUUAUAUGUAUGUGAUUAUUUUUUUAAUGGGUCUACGGAUAUUUUUUUUACCUAAUAAUAAACACUAUUGAGCAAUUAUAGAGUUCAGCGGAAGGCAGCUAACAAGAUAGCCUUGCAU